RNAcentral lists this long non-coding RNA (1850 nucleotides) under Homo sapiens (human). RNAcentral describes it as "non-protein coding lnc-RAB24-2:1". The record is from RNAcentral. Lineage: Eukaryota; Metazoa; Chordata; Mammalia; Primates; Hominidae.
ACCAUUGGAGAGCUUUAACAAAGGAAAGCUAAAAUCAGGUAUUCAUUUUUAAAAAGACUGUUCUGACUGCUACAUGGAAAACGAGUUCAAGAGUCUCAGCUAAGAUAGGGCCUCACUUAAGACAGGCGCUUAGGAAAUAACAAUGGGCAUCUGUCACUAUAAAACAUUGUAAGAUUUAUCAAUUUUUUUUUUUUUUUGAGAGGAAGUCUUGCUCUGUCGCCCAGGAUGGAGUACAAUGGCGCAAUCUUGGCUCACUGCCACCUCUGCCACCCGGGUUCAAGUGAUUCUCCUGCCUCAGCCUCCCGAGUAGCUGGGAUUACAGGCAUGCGCCACCAUGCCCAGCUAAUUUUUGUAUUUCUAGUAGAGAUGGGGUUUCACCACGUUGGCCAGGCUGGUCUCAAACUCCUCACCUCAUGAUCCACCCACCUUGGCCUCCCAAAGUGCUGGGAUUACAGGUGUGAGCCACCGCACCCAGCCCAAAUAUUUUUAAAGCCUUGUACUACUAUGAAAAGCAAACAAGGGGAAAGGUGACUAAGUAAGUUUUAGCUUCAAGAACUCAUAGAAACAGAAUAGGUCUUGAUCACUUAAGAAUCAAAGCUUAAAUAAAAAACAGGACAGCUUUAGGGAGAAAGGUUAGAGAGGUAGCCUGGAAUUGAUAGGGGAACUCAGGGACUUUAUCAACCUAUAGUCUGAGAUAUCCUCAAAUGUCUGACUCCCCAUUAUCUACUAUUCACAUAUAAAAACUGAAAAAUAGCACUAUAUAUUGUACUUUGCAUAUUCAGAGUGCCAAUAACGUUUCUAUAUAUGGUAAAAAAAAAAAAAAACUGACCUUCAGCACUUAAAUAGGAAAACGUUAAUUACAACGUGAAUUAGAAAUAAAGUUUUUGCAUUAACUAAAUGUUAUAGACUAAUUAUUCAACUGGGAUAACCACGUAAUUUAUCUUUCAAACCGGGACACCUGAGAGUGAAAAGAAGUGCUAUUAAUAAAUUGUGACAGCACAAGGGACCUACACAAAGACUGAUCCAGACAAGCCAGGACCACAGGGUCACCUUACCUUUAACCUUUUCAUUAAAUGAUCUUUGUAAAAUGUAUUUACACUCUGACUUGUCUCACUAAGUAAAUAAUGGGCAUAACUGUUUUUGAGGAUUAAGACUGUUGUUUGGGAUCUGGUCCAAGAAUGUAAUAGUGAAGAUAAUAGGCAAAGAAACUGGAUUGAAAUUAUAUUGGCCACAAUAACAUUUUCUGGUCUGAGUUUACUUUUUUAGAGAUCUCAACUUAUUUAUCUAUUACUAUUUAUUAUUUGUGAGAUAGGGUCUCAGUCACCCAGGUGGGAGUGCAGUGGCAUGACCAUGGCUCACUAAAGCCUCUACCUCCCCAGCUUCAGGUGAUCCAAUGACCUCAGCCUCCCCAGCAGGGGAAUUACAGGCACGAACUGUCAUGCCUGGCUAAUUUUUGUAUUUUUGGCAGAGACAGGGUUUUACCAUGUUGCCUGGCUGGUCUCAAAUUCCUGGGCUCAAAUGAUCCACCCACCUCAGCCUCACAAAGUGCUGAGAUUAGUGCUGUGCUUGGCCUAUGGUUUCAAUUUAAAAAAGAAGAACUGGCCGGGCGUGGUGGCUCACGCCUGUAAUCCCAGCACUUUGGGAGGCCGAGGCGGGCAGAUCACGAGGUCAGGAGAUCGAGACCAUCCUCGCCAACACGGUGAAACCCCAUCUCUACCAAAAAAUACAAAAAAUUAGCUGGACAUGGUGGCGGGUGCCUAUAGUCCCGGUGCCACUGUACUCCAGCCUGGGCAACAGAGCCAGACUCCAUCUCAAACCAAAAAAAAAAAAAAAAGAAAGAAAUUCUUCUA